RNAcentral lists this ribosomal RNA (518 nucleotides) under Salmonella enterica subsp. enterica serovar Infantis. RNAcentral's name for it is "partial 23S ribosomal RNA". It matches the Rfam family "Bacterial large subunit ribosomal RNA", at positions 1271 to 1784 of the family's 2925-position model. Lineage: Bacteria; Pseudomonadati; Pseudomonadota; Gammaproteobacteria; Enterobacterales; Enterobacteriaceae. The record is from RNAcentral.
UGCUGGAGGUAUCAGAAGUGCGAAUGCUGACAUAAGUAACGAUAAAGCGGGUGAAAAGCCCGCUCGCCGGAAGACCAAGGGUUCCUGUCCAACGUUAAUCGGGGCAGGGUGAGUCGACCCCUAAGGCGAGGCCGAAAGGCGUAGUCGAUGGGAAACGGGUUAAUAUUCCCGUACUUGGUGUUACUGCGAAGGGGGGACGGAGAAGGCUAUGUUGGCCGGGCGACGGUUGUCCCGGUUUAAGCGUGUAGGCUGGUUUUCCAGGCAAAUCCGGAAAAUCAAGGCUGAGGCGUGAUGACGAGGCACUACGGUGCUGAAGCAACAAAUGCCCUGCUUCCAGGAAAAGCCUCUAAGCAUCAGGUAACAUCAAAUCGUACCCCAAACCGACACAGGUGGUCAGGUAGAGAAUACCAAGGCGCUUGAGAGAACUCGGGUGAAGGAACUAGGCAAAAUGGUGCCGUAACUUCGGGAGAAGGCACGCUGACACGUAGGUGAAGUGAUUUACUCAUGGAGCUGAAGUC